AAUCCUUCAGGGUCCUCUUCCACCUCUACCUUUAGAGCCCCACACCACUAUCCCAGGGACUGACGAGUUGAAGGGAACUUUCUUAGAAACUGGCCCAUCAGCUUUCCCUAGGGGCAAUGGCAGCGGGAAAGGGGGGGGGGGGGGGGGGGGGGGGGGGGGGGAGGGGAGGAGCUGGGCACGUGGCUGGCUGGAGCUCCAAGACCCAGGUUUGGGGCUGCGGGUUCUCCCCUUGUAGUUUUUUUCCCCCACGGCCCCAGUGUUUUAACCCCACACCCAGGCAGCUCAGGAAUCCCGGCGCAGAUUGGAGAACUAGGACUAGGACAGCGCUACCCUCACGAAAGCGCCUCUGCCACCAACAGCCUGAUGGCAAAUAUGGACUGAAUCGUUGACAUGGAAACCGGACUAAAGUCUUGCUCGCUCCCUCACAAGAGAGUUCUUAUCACCAUCCCCGACCGCAAAGCACUUGGCAAACGUGGACUGGAUCUCUCGCCCAGAGGAUCAGGCGGAGUUUCUGUGCGCUGCUUUAACUCCUGCGGCUGCGGCAGCCAAGGAGGGGGGCAGGGCUGCCAGGACAAACCGACUGAAAAUGGCAGAGGAUGUUCUCAUUUUAUCUGGCUUGUACAGUGUGCAUGGAUUGGGCCGAGAAUAAGAGAACAACCUAUUAAAAUCCACGCAGUCAACUGCAAAAUGUGGAACCGAGGCCUGGAGGGUUUGUUAAGAGAGAGAAACGUUUGCAGGGAGAGAAACAGCCCUUCCUUUCUCGAAAUUUGCUUCCCCUAAGUGUGCGAAAUACAAAACUCAACAAACAAACAAAAGGUCAGUCUCGGCUCCUUCCCUUCCUCACUCCUUUUGGGGGAAGGCGUUUUAAGCCUUAGGACCCUAGUGGAGGAAUUGCCUCUGUUCUGAAUAAGGCGCUGGGAAUCGGAGGAGCGCGGGGUUGUGGCCCUCACACGCGUCCCCGCCGCGGCAAAGCAUCAGACACCCAGCGGAGCUCUCCCGAGUGCGAACUGGAGCUGCGAGUUUGAGCAAAAGGGCAACUAUGUCAGUUGACGGAAGCCAGAAGCAGAGUUCAAAUCCUGGCGUGGAUUUCCGUCUGGAGCUGUCUGCUUCUUAAAGUUUGUAACUCGGUGUUCAGAAACAGCCCCAGCGGAGGCUUUGGGAGCAGUGUGAAAGUCUAGCACUACCAUCUGACAGCGAGCAGCAAAACUUUGGGCUGCAUAUUAAGCGAGGAAAGUGGAUUGAAGCAAGAGUCAAGGCAAUUCAUUAUAUUAUCGGCUCCCAGACGGGAGCUGUAAGUUACGAACUGGAUCGCCACGGAGAAAAAUGGAAUGGAGUCUAAAUGGCGCUCAACAGCUCUUAGCGGUAAAAUUGUGGCUGCCCAGCACCUAGGAUCCUAAAGCAGCAGCAGCAGCAGCAACCGUAGAGGCAUCGAGCCUGGCGGGCGCUCAACGACUGCUUGGGUAGAUGCUUUCUUCCACUCA
This 1481-nucleotide long non-coding RNA is filed under the name Lynx pardinus (Iberian lynx). Lineage: Eukaryota; Metazoa; Chordata; Mammalia; Carnivora; Felidae. The record is from RNAcentral.